Molecule: ribosomal RNA, 388 nt
Filed under: Cynopotamus argenteus
Lineage: Eukaryota; Metazoa; Chordata; Actinopteri; Characiformes; Characidae
Description: partial 12S ribosomal RNA
Rfam family: Bacterial small subunit ribosomal RNA
Source: RNAcentral
GCUUAGCCUUAAACCUAGAUGUUAAUACUACAACUACAUCCGCCAGGGUACUACAAGCGCUAGCUUAAAACCCAAAGGACUUGACGGUGUCUCAGACCCACCUAGAGGAGCCUGUUCUAGAACCGAUAAUCCCCGUUAAACCUCACCACCCCUUGUUUUUUCCGCCUAUAUACCGCCGUCGCAAGCUUACCCUGUGAAGGUCUAAUAGUAAGCAAAAUGGUAAUACACCAAAAUGUCAGGUCGAGGUGUAGCUCACGAGGUGGGAAGAAAUGGGCUACAUUUUCUACUUCAGAAUAUUACGAAUAAUACUAUGAAAUUAGUAAUUGAAGGUGGAUUUAGCAGUAAAAAAUAAACAGAGAGUCUUUUUGAACCAGGCUCUGAGACGCGU